AUAUUUUAAGUAUUUUUAUAACCGAAUAGUUUAGAUCUUAGAGUUGAUUGUUUGGAACUGGUUUGUCUUUUAGGUAAAGUAGAUGAAAAUUGAUUUUAAGAAGUGAUAAGUUAUUCGUUAAACUUUAUAUCUGUUUAGUUGCUUGUGUAUAUCGAAGAAUAGGAUAGGCUAUGAGGUCUGUUUUAAGUUUAUAUUGAAUUAUGAUUGUCUGGAAAAUUAGGUUAAAAGUACCUAUUUUUUAUGAGUUUGUUAAAAGAAUUUGUAUUUGGUUUGGACAAUUAGUUAUUGUAGCAACUUAGAAUAUCUUUUAGUUUAAAAGAAUUAUUAAAUAAGUAAUUGUAUCAUGUCAAUUAUUUCUCAGGGUCUUUCCGUCUGUUUAUUAAAAACAUUUCCAGUUUGGAGUUUAACUGGUAGUACCUGCCCGGUGUGAUUUUAUAAAUGGCCGCAGUAUACUGACUGUGCAAAGGUAGCAUAAUUAAUUGCCUUUUAAUUGGGGGCUUGUUUGAAUGGUU
RNAcentral lists this ribosomal RNA (512 nucleotides) under Taenia sp. Lynx lynx YW-2021. Its description in RNAcentral is "partial large subunit ribosomal RNA". The stretch from base 359 to 512 matches the Rfam family "Archaeal large subunit ribosomal RNA", at positions 1878 to 2078 of the family's 2987-position model. Lineage: Eukaryota; Metazoa; Platyhelminthes; Cestoda; Cyclophyllidea; Taeniidae. The record is from RNAcentral.